AGCGUAGACGGCGCAGCAAGUCUGAUGUGAAAGGCAGGGGCUUAACCCCUGGACUGCAUUGGAAACUGCUGUGCUUGAGUGCCGGAGGGGUAAGCGGAAUUCCUAGUGUAGCGGUGAAAUGCGUAGAUAUUAGGAGGAACACCAGUGGCGAAGGCGGCUUACUGGACGGUAACUGACGUUGAGGCUCGAAAGCGUGGGGAAGCAAACA
RNAcentral lists this ribosomal RNA (208 nucleotides) under uncultured bacterium. Its description in RNAcentral is "partial 16S ribosomal RNA". It matches the Rfam family "Bacterial small subunit ribosomal RNA", at positions 568 to 774 of the family's 1533-position model. The record is from RNAcentral.